This 197-nucleotide ribosomal RNA is filed under the name uncultured bacterium. RNAcentral's name for it is "partial 16S ribosomal RNA". It matches the Rfam family "Bacterial small subunit ribosomal RNA", at positions 1304 to 1500 of the family's 1533-position model. The record is from RNAcentral.
GCUGCAACUCGCCUACAUGAAGUUGGAAUCGCUAGUAAUCGCGAAUCAGAAUGUCGCGGUGAAUACGUUCCCGGGUCUUGUACACACCGCCCGUCACACCACGAGAGUUUACAACACCCGAAGUCAGUGGCCUAACCGCAAGGAGGGAGCUGCCUAAGGUGGGGUAGAUGAUUGGGGUGAAGUCGUAACAAGGUACC